UUGUAAAUAAAGUAAAAUGCUUUUAUAAGUCAGCAUAUUGGGCUGAUGUUUCUACAAUGUACCUAUACAUUUCUAAAAGUAUACAUAGAAAGGAG
Molecule: non-coding RNA, 95 nt
Filed under: Spiroplasma diminutum
Lineage: Bacteria; Bacillati; Mycoplasmatota; Mollicutes; Entomoplasmatales; Spiroplasmataceae
Also listed under: 1 other name
Description: Guanine sequence
Rfam family: Purine riboswitch aptamer
About the family: Riboswitches are metabolite binding domains within certain messenger RNAs that serve as precision sensors for their corresponding targets. Allosteric rearrangement of mRNA structure is mediated by ligand binding, and this results in modulation of gene expression.
Source: RNAcentral